UGUGGAUAUAGCUCAGUUGGUAGAGUACUUGUCUCACAUGCACAAGGCCCUGGGUUCAAUCCUCAGCCCCAA
RNAcentral lists this transfer RNA (72 nucleotides) under Marmota monax (woodchuck). RNAcentral describes it as "tRNA.Val". Lineage: Eukaryota; Metazoa; Chordata; Mammalia; Rodentia; Sciuridae. The record is from RNAcentral.